UGAAAGCGGGGCGCACCCUCCGCGGUCGCCCGGGGAGGACGGCGUCGGGCCAACCGGCGCCCGCACUCCCGGGGCGCCUCGGCCUCCGGCCGCAGGCGCACCCGGAGCGUACACGUUGGGACCCGAAAGAUGGUGAACUAUGCCUGGUCAGGACGAAGUCAGGGGAAACCCUGAUGGAGGUCCGCAGCGAUUCUGACGUGCAAAUCGAUCGUCAGAGCUGGGUAUAGGGGCGAAAGACUAAUCGAACCAUCUAGUAGCUGGUUCCCUCCGAAGUUUCCCUCAGGAUAGCUGGCGUCCAUUUCGACCGGGACGAGUCUCAUCCGGUAAAGCGAAUGAUUAGAGGCCUUGGGGCCGAAACGACCUCAACCUAUUCUCAAACUUUAAAUGGGUGAGAUCUCCGGCUUGCUUGGCUGAAGCCGCGAGGUCUGGAUCAGGGUGCCAAGUGGGCCAUUUUUGGUAAGCAGAACCGGCGCUGUGGGAUGAACCAAACGCCGGGUUAAGGCGCCUAAACCGGAGCUCACGGGAAACCAUGAAAGGCGUUGGUUGCUUAAGACAGCAGGACGGUGGCCAUGGAAGUCGGAAGCCGCUAAGGAGUGUGUAACAACUCACCUGCCGAAGCAACUAGCCCUGAAAAUGGAUGGCGCUAAAGCUCCGUGCCUAUACCCGGCCGCCGGCAGGCAAGGGCGGCCGCCCUUUGGGGCGGUCGCGCGAAGCCCCGGUGAGUAGGAGGGCGCGGCGGUGAGCGCGGAAGGGUCUGGGCGCGAGCCUGCCUGGAGCCGCCGCCGGUGCAGAUCUUGGUGGUAGUAGCAAAUACUCAAGCGAGGGCCUUGAGGGCUGAUGUGGAGAAGGGUUUCGUGUGAACAGCCGUUGCACACGAGUCAGUCGAUCCUAAGCUCUAGGAGAAAUCCGAUGUUGAUCAGGGGCAUUGUGACAACGAGAACGCCCCCUUCGAGCGAAAGGGAAUCCGGUUCCUAUUCCGGAACCCGGCAGCGGAACCGACUCGUCGGGCCCUCGCAAGAGAAGCUCGUCGGGGUAACCCAAAAGGACCCGGAGACGCCGUCGGGAGACCCGGGCAGAGUUUUCUGUUCUGCAUAAGCGUUCGAGUUCCCUGGAAUCCUCUAGCAGGGAGAUAGGGUUUGGAACGCGAAGAGCACCGCAGUUGCGGCGGUGUCCGGGUCGUCCCCUCGGACCUUGAAAAUCCGGGAGAGGGCUACGCGGAGGUGUCGCGCCGGCUCGUACCCAUAUCCGCAGCAGGUCUCCAAGGUGAAGAGCCU
Molecule: ribosomal RNA, 1274 nt
Filed under: Blatta orientalis (oriental cockroach)
Lineage: Eukaryota; Metazoa; Arthropoda; Insecta; Blattodea; Blattidae
Description: eukaryotic LSU rRNA
Rfam family: Eukaryotic large subunit ribosomal RNA
Source: RNAcentral